AGAGUUUGAUCAUGGCUCAGAUUGAACGCUGGCGGCACGCCUAACACAUGCAAGUCGAGCGGUAACAGGUUUAGUAGCAAUACUAGACGCUGACGAGCGGCGGACGGGUGAGUAACACGUAGGAACCUACCUUUGAGUGGGGGAUAACCAAGGGAAACUUUGGCUAAUACCGCAUAAGUUCGAAGGAAGAAAGCUGCAGCAAUGUAGCGCUGAAAGAGGGGCCUGCGUCCGAUUAGCUAGUUGGUGAGGUAAAGGCUCACCAAGGCGAUGAUCGGUAACUGGUCUGAGAGGACGACCAGUCACACUGGGACUGAGACACGGCCCAGACUCCUACGGGAGGCAGCAGUGGGGAAUAUUGGACAAUGGGGGCAACCCUGAUCCAGCGAUGCCGCGUGGGUGAAGAAGGCCUUCGGGUUGUAAAGCCCUUUAGGUUGGGAAGAAGGUUACGAGAGGAAAUGCUUGUAACUUGACGGUACCGACAGAAUAAGCACCGGCAAACUCUGUGCCAGCAGCCGCGGUAAUACAGAGGGUGCGAGCGUUAAUCGGAGUUACUGGGCGUAAAGGGCGCGUAGGCGGUGAGAUGUGUGUGAUGUGAAAGCCCUGGGCUUAACCUGGGAAGUGCAUCGCAAACUAUCUGACUGGAGUAUAAGAGAGGGUGGCGGAAUUUCCGGUGUAGCGGUGAAAUGCGUAGAGAUCGGAAGGAACGUCAAUGGCGAAGGCAGCCACCUGGCUUAAUACUGACGCUGAGGCGCGAAAGCGUGGGGAGCGAAAGGAUUAGAUACCCNNGUAGUCC
RNAcentral lists this ribosomal RNA (793 nucleotides) under uncultured bacterium. RNAcentral describes it as "bacterial SSU rRNA". It matches the Rfam family "Bacterial small subunit ribosomal RNA", at positions 8 to 796 of the family's 1533-position model. The record is from RNAcentral.